GACGAACGCUGGCGGCGUGCUUAACACAUGCAAGUCGAACGCUGAAGCACCAGCUUGCUGGUGUGGAUGAGUGGCGAACGGGUGAGUAAUACGUGAGUAACCUGCCCUUGACUCUGGGAUAAGCCCGGGAAACUGGGUCUAAUACUGGAUGCUACAUGUCACCGCAUGGUGGUGUGUGGAAAGGGUUUACUGGUCUUGGAUGGGCUCACGGCCUAUCAGCUUGUUGGUGAGGUAAUGGCUCACCAAGGCGACGACGGGUAGCCGGCCUGAGAGGGUGACCGGCCACACUGAGACUGAGACACGGCCCAGACUCCUACGGGAGGCAGCAGUGGGGAAUAUUGCACAAUGGGCGAAAGCCUGAUGCAGCGACGCCGCGUGAGGGAUGACGGCCUUCGGGUUGUAAACCUCUUUCAGCAGGGAAGAAGCCACAAGUGACGGUACCUGCAGAAGAAGCGCCGGCUAACUACGUG
Molecule: ribosomal RNA, 470 nt
Filed under: uncultured bacterium
Lineage: Bacteria
Description: partial 16S ribosomal RNA
Rfam family: Bacterial small subunit ribosomal RNA
Source: RNAcentral